This 386-nucleotide ribosomal RNA is filed under the name uncultured bacterium. Its description in RNAcentral is "bacterial SSU rRNA". It matches the Rfam family "Bacterial small subunit ribosomal RNA", at positions 28 to 410 of the family's 1533-position model. The record is from RNAcentral.
GAUGAACGCUGGCGGCGUGCCUAAUACAUGCAAGUCGAACGAGGUCCUUGCCUUCGGGUGAGGUCCUAGUGGCGAACGGGUGAGUAACACGUUGGUGACCUGCCCCGAAGAGGGGGACAACCCCGGGAAACUGGGGCUAAUACCCCAUGUGAUCCAGAGAGUUAGAGGUCUUUGGAUGAAAUGGAGCAAUCCGCUUCGGGAGGGGCCUGCGGCCUAUCAGCUAGUUGGUAGGGUAACGGCCUACCAAGGCGACGACGGGUAGGGGGCCUGAGAGGGUGAUCCCCCACACUGGAACUGAAACACGGACCAGACACCUACGGGUGGCAGCAGUAGGGAAUAUUGCCCAAUGGACGAAAGUCUGAGGCAGCAACGCCGCGUGCGCGAUG